RNAcentral lists this ribosomal RNA (460 nucleotides) under uncultured bacterium. RNAcentral's name for it is "partial 16S ribosomal RNA". It matches the Rfam family "Bacterial small subunit ribosomal RNA", at positions 338 to 795 of the family's 1533-position model. The record is from RNAcentral.
CCUACGGGAGGCUGCAGUGAGGGAUAUUGGUCAAUGGGCGCGAGCCUGAACCAGCCAAGUAGCGUGAAGGAUGACUGCCCUCCGGGUUGUAAACUUCUUUUAUAAAGGAAUAAAGUGAGGCACGUGUGCCUUUUUGUAUGUACUUUAUGAAUAAGGAUCGGCUAACUCCGUGCCAGCAGCCGCGGUAAUACGGAGGAUCCGAGCGUUAUCCGGAUUUAUUGGGUUUAAAGGGAGCGUAGAUGGGUUGUUAAGUCAGUUGUGAAAGUUUGCGGCGCAACCGUAAAAUUGCAAUUGAUACUGGCAGCCUUGAGUACAGUUGAGGCAGGCGGAAUUCGUGGUGUAGCGGUGAAAUGCUUAGAUAUAACGAAGAACUCCGAUGGCGAAGGCAGCUUACUAAACUGCCACUGACAUUGAUGCUCGAAAGUGUGGGUAUCAAACAGGAUUAGAUACCCUAGUAGUC